UCCGGCUCGAAGGACUUCGUGCAUUCUUUU
RNAcentral lists this non-coding RNA (30 nucleotides) under Cricetulus griseus (Chinese hamster). Lineage: Eukaryota; Metazoa; Chordata; Mammalia; Rodentia; Cricetidae. The record is from RNAcentral.